GAUGAAGAACGUAGCGAAAUGCGAUACGUAAUGUGAAUUGCAAAUUCAGUGAAUCAUCGAGUCUUUGAACGCACAUUGCGCCCCCUGGUAUUCCGGGGGGCAUGCCUGUCCGAGCGUCAUUGCUGCCCUCAAGCACGGCUUGUGUGUUGGGCCCCGUCCUCCGAUCCCGGGGGACGGGCCCGAAAGGCAGCGGCGGCACCGCGUCCGGUCCUCGAGCGUAUGGGGCUUUGUCACCCGCUCUGUAGGCCCGGCCGGCGCUUGCCGAUCAACCCAAAUUUUUAUCCAGGUUGACCUCGGAUCAGGUAGGGAUACCGCUGAACUUAAGCAUAUCAAUAAGCGGAGGA
This 344-nucleotide unclassified non-coding RNA is filed under the name soil metagenome. RNAcentral describes it as "partial contains 5.8S ribosomal RNA, internal transcribed spacer 2, and large subunit ribosomal RNA". The stretch from base 1 to 119 matches the Rfam family "5.8S ribosomal RNA", at positions 35 to 154 of the family's 154-position model. The record is from RNAcentral.